Molecule: non-coding RNA, 220 nt
Organism: Caenorhabditis elegans
Lineage: Eukaryota; Metazoa; Nematoda; Chromadorea; Rhabditida; Rhabditidae
Source: Ensembl
CUGUUAUAGCUAUAUAUGCAUUGACGCUCUAUCGAACACCCCCAUUUUGUCCAAGUGUACAGGUCAGUGAGAGCGGCCCAGCUUUGAAGAGGCAUAGAGAAAUGAAUAAUCACAGGUGACCCUCACAAACACUGUACAGGACGACGAUGCGCGCGCACCGACUAACACGGGCGGUCUAGGAAAGUGACAAAAAAGUAACAGAGAGAGAGUCUCGACACAU